This 1824-nucleotide non-coding RNA is filed under the name Streptomyces sp. Termitarium-T10T-6. RNAcentral's name for it is "bacterial LSU rRNA". It matches the Rfam family "Bacterial large subunit ribosomal RNA", at positions 1225 to 2925 of the family's 2925-position model. Lineage: Bacteria; Bacillati; Actinomycetota; Actinomycetes; Kitasatosporales; Streptomycetaceae. The record is from RNAcentral.
UGGGUAGGGGAGCGUCGUGUGCCGGGUGAAGCAGCCGCGGAAGCGAGUUGUGGACGGUUCACGAGUGAGAAUGCAGGCAUGAGUAGCGAUACACACGUGAGAAACGUGUGCGCCGAUUGACUAAGGGUUCCUGGGUCAAGCUGAUCUGCCCAGGGUAAGUCGGGACCUAAGGCGAGGCCGACAGGCGUAGUCGAUGGACAACCGGUUGAUAUUCCGGUACCCGCUUUGAAACGCCCAGUACUGAAUCAGGCGAUGCUAAGUCCGUGAAGCCGGCCCGAUCUCUUCGGAGUUGAGGGUAGUGGUGGAGCCGAUGAACCAGACUUGUAGUAGGUAAGCGAUGGGGUGACGCAGGAAGGUAGUCCAGCCCGGGCGGUGGUUGUCCCGGGGUAAGGGUGUAGGACGCACGGUAGGCAAAUCCGUCGUGCAUAUAGUCUGAGACCUGAUGCCGAGCCGAUUGUGGUGAAGUGGAUGAUCCUAUGCUGUCGAGAAAAGCCUCUAGCGAGUUUCAUGGCGGCCCGUACCCUAAACCGACUCAGGUGGUCAGGUAGAGAAUACCGAGGCGUUCGGGUGAACUAUGGUUAAGGAACUCGGCAAAAUGCCCCCGUAACUUCGGGAGAAGGGGGGCCAUCACUGGUGAUAGCACUUGCUGCUUGAGCUGGGGGUGGCCGCAGAGACCAGCGAGAAGCGACUGUUUACUAAAAACACAGGUCCGUGCGAAGCCGUAAGGCGAUGUAUACGGACUGACGCCUGCCCGGUGCUGGAACGUUAAGGGGACCGGUUAGCUGCCUUUCGGGGUGGCGAAGCUGAGAACUUAAGCGCCAGUAAACGGCGGUGGUAACUAUAACCAUCCUAAGGUAGCGAAAUUCCUUGUCGGGUAAGUUCCGACCUGCACGAAUGGCGUAACGACUUCUCGACUGUCUCAACCAUAGGCCCGGUGAAAUUGCACUACGAGUAAAGAUGCUCGUUUCGCGCAGCAGGACGGAAAGACCCCGGGACCUUUACUAUAGUUUGAUAUUGGUGUUCGGUUCGGCUUGUGUAGGAUAGGUGGGAGACUGUGAAGCGGCCACGCCAGUGGUUGUGGAGUCGUCGUUGAAAUACCACUCUGGUCGUGCUGGAUGUCUAACCUGGGUCCGUGAUCCGGAUCAGGGACAGUGUCUGAUGGGUAGUUUAACUGGGGCGGUUGCCUCCUAAAGAGUAACGGAGGCGCCCAAAGGUUCCCUCAGCCUGGUUGGUAAUCAGGUGUUGAGUGUAAGUGCACAAGGGAGCUUGACUGUGAGACCGACGGGUCGAGCAGGGACGAAAGUCGGGACUAGUGAUCCGGCAGUGGCUUGUGGAAGCGCUGUCGCUCAACGGAUAAAAGGUACCCCGGGGAUAACAGGCUGAUCUUCCCCAAGAGUCCAUAUCGACGGGAUGGUUUGGCACCUCGAUGUCGGCUCGUCGCAUCCUGGGGCUGGAGUCGGUCCCAAGGGUUGGGCUGUUCGCCCAUUAAAGCGGUACGCGAGCUGGGUUUAGAACGUCGUGAGACAGUUCGGUCCCUAUCCGCUGUGCGCGUAGGAAUAUUGAGAAGGGCUGUCCCUAGUACGAGAGGACCGGGACGGACGAACCUCUGGUGUGCCAGUUGUCCUGCCAAGGGCAUGGCUGGUUGGCUACGUUCGGAAAGGAUAACCGCUGAAAGCAUCUAAGCGGGAAGCCUGCUUCGAGAUGAGUAUUCCCACCAACUUGAUUGGUUAAGGCUCCCAGUAGACGACUGGGUUGAUAGGCCAGAUGUGGAAGCCCGGUAACGGGUGGAGCUGACUGGUACUAAUAGGCCGAGGGCUUGUCCUC